AACGAACGCUGGCGGCGUGCCUAACACAUGCAAGUCGAGCGGGAAAGUUCCCUUCGGGGAGCAAGUACAGCGGCGAACGGGUGAGUAACACGUAGGUAACCUACCUUGGAGAUCGGGAUAACCUGCCGAAAGGCGGGCUAAUACCGGAUAAGACCACGAGGGCUGCGGCCCUUGAGGAAAAAGAUGGCCUCUGCUUGCAAGCCAUCACUCUGGGAUGGGCCUGCGCGCCAUAGCUAGUUGGUGAGGUAACGGCUCACCAAGGCUGAGAUGGCUAGCUGGUCUGAGAGGAUGGCCAGCCACACUGGGACUGAGACACGGCCCAGACUCCUACGGGAGGCAGCAGUGGGAAUAUUGCGCAAUGGGCGAAAGCCUGACGCAGCGACGCCGCGUGGGCGAUGAAGGCCUCGGUCGUAA
Molecule: ribosomal RNA, 414 nt
Filed under: uncultured bacterium
Lineage: Bacteria
Description: bacterial SSU rRNA
Rfam family: Bacterial small subunit ribosomal RNA
Source: RNAcentral